GAUAAGGAAAGUAGGAAAGGGCGCAUGGCGGAUGCCUUGGCUCUCGGAGGCGAUGAAGGACGUGAUAAGCUGCGAUAAGUCACGGGGAGGUGCAAAUAACCUUUGAUCCGUGAAU
Molecule: ribosomal RNA, 115 nt
Filed under: Phocaeicola plebeius
Lineage: Bacteria; Pseudomonadati; Bacteroidota; Bacteroidia; Bacteroidales; Bacteroidaceae
Description: partial 23S ribosomal RNA
Rfam family: Bacterial large subunit ribosomal RNA
Source: RNAcentral